UACGUAGGGUCCAAGCGCUAUCCGGAAUCACUGGGCGUAAAGAGUUUGUAGGCGGAAAUUUAAGUGAGAUGUGAAAUCUUGUGGCUCAACCAUAAGACGGUAUCUCAUACUGGGUUUCUAGAAGAUAGCAGAGGCAAGUGGAAUUAGUAGUGUAGCGGUAAAAUGCGUAGAUAUUACUAGGAACACCAAUGGCGAAGGCAGCUUGCUGGGCUAUUAUUGACGCUGAGAAACGAAAGCGUGGGGAGCGAACAGG
This 253-nucleotide ribosomal RNA is filed under the name uncultured bacterium. RNAcentral's name for it is "partial 16S ribosomal RNA". It matches the Rfam family "Bacterial small subunit ribosomal RNA", at positions 524 to 776 of the family's 1533-position model. The record is from RNAcentral.